Biscogniauxia marginata is the source of this 87-nucleotide non-coding RNA. The record is from the annotation of a GenBank genome assembly. NCBI's taxonomy places the organism in Eukaryota, Fungi, Ascomycota, Sordariomycetes, Xylariales, Xylariaceae.
GGGCAUUUGGUCUAGGGGUAUGAUAUUUGCUUCGCAUCUUCUAACAGUGCUUGCAAAGGGUCCUGGGUUCAAUUCCCAGAAUGUCCA